AUGACGCCUUUAGUAUAAACCAUGGAAGCCAGAUUUCAUAUGACAUCGCUUCGGCCGACUUUGGCAUUGUAUUUUUUUCAAAAUCACACUACUCUAAAAUCACAGGAUUAUAAUGAUGAUUUUAAUCAACCACCAGAUACACUUGUAUCUGAGAGGAAAUUUUUUCAGUCGGCAAUUAUUUUUUAUCUACAAAAUCAGAACUUAAACUUUGUUGUUGCUUCAAUAAAAACUUGCACAUUCAGUUUUAAUUCGCGAAAGAUGGGUUUCAUCUCUCAAUUCUAUUUCUAAAAGUGAACAAAUAUUCAGUGUUAAUGAGCGUGAUAUAUCACAGAAAUUGCCAUUGCUUUGCUUGGCAAAUGAUUUGGACAAACAUAAAGUAAAAAUGAACAAUGUGCAAGUUUCUCCUACCGGCAUUCACCCCAUUGAUAUCCUCUGUGAGAAUGAGAUCAGGCGAUGCAUCAAAAUCACUAUGCCCAAUCACCGAGAACAAAAUCUCUUCC
Molecule: long non-coding RNA, 500 nt
Organism: Hordeum vulgare subsp. vulgare (domesticated barley)
Lineage: Eukaryota; Viridiplantae; Streptophyta; Magnoliopsida; Poales; Poaceae
Exons: 2
Source: RefSeq, a predicted model, not a curated record